This 540-nucleotide long non-coding RNA is filed under the name Dermacentor andersoni. Its description in RNAcentral is "uncharacterized LOC126526680". Lineage: Eukaryota; Metazoa; Arthropoda; Arachnida; Ixodida; Ixodidae. The record is from RNAcentral.
UUUCGCAGACACUUCUCGCUUUCAUCGGCCUCGUUGCCGUCGCCCUUGGCGGCUACGUGGCUGCCCCAGUGGCUGUUGGCUACGGCCACGGCCACGGGGGCUAUGGCCUUGGAUAUGGUCACGGCUACGGUUAUGGCGGCUAUGGCGGCUACGGAUAUGGUCAUGGUCCCUUCGCCAUCACCACCGUCACCAAGACUGCCCACGUCGCUCCUUCCCGCGCUGUGGCUGUCAGCUACGGACACGGCUAUGGACACGGAUAUGGUCUGGGCUACGGGCACGGCCUUGGAUACGGCUAUGGCGGUCAUGGUUACGGUGGUGUUGUGAAGGCUGUCGGCCUCGGCUAUGGCCACGGAUUUGGCUAUGGUCAUGGCUACGGCUAUCAUGGCUGAAUUAUCAGUUAUUGAAAGGAGAGAGUUUUACUACCGGAAGAACGGGGCCGGCAAAAGUGCCAUGAAGAUGGUUUGUUCGAUGCGUAGGCCCUCCAAAUAAACAAGUCUAUUUAUUUCCAAAAUAAAUUGCAAUGAGCAUUUUUUUUACAAA